AUUGAACGCUGGCGGCAGGCCUAACACAUGCAAGUCGAACGGUAACAGGAAGAAGCUUGCUUCUUUGCUGACGAGUGGCGGACGGGUGAGUAAUGUCUGGGAAACUGCCUGAUGGAGGGGGAUAACUACUGGAAACGGUAGCUAAUACCGCAUAACGUCGCAAGACCAAAGAGGGGGACCUUCGGGCCUCUUGCCAUCGGAUGUGCCCAGAUGGGAGUAGCUUGUUGGUGGGGUAACGGCUCACCAAGGCGACGAUCCCUAGCUGGUCUGAGAGGAUGACCAGCCACACUGGAACUGAGACACGGUCCAGACUCCUACGGGAGGCAGCAGUGGGGAAUAUUGCACAAUGGGCGCAAGCCUGAUGCAGCCAUGCCGCGUGUAUGAAGAAGGCCUUCGGGUUGUAAAGUACUUUCAGCGGGGAGGAAGGGAGUAAAGUUAAUACCUUUGCUCAUUGACGUUACCCGCAGAAGAAGCACCGGCUAACUCCGUG
Molecule: ribosomal RNA, 490 nt
Filed under: uncultured bacterium
Lineage: Bacteria
Description: partial 16S ribosomal RNA
Rfam family: Bacterial small subunit ribosomal RNA
Source: RNAcentral